UCCUACGGGACGCAGCAGUGGGGGAUAUUGGACAAUGGGGGAAACCCUGAUCCAGCGACGCCGCGUGAGUGAAGAAGUAUUUCGGUAUGUAAAGCUCUGUCAGCAGGGAAGAAAGAAAUGACGGUACCUGACCAAGAAGCCCCGGCUAACUACGUGCCAGCAGCCGCGGUAAUACGUAGGGGGCAAGCGUUAUCCGGAAUUACUAGGUGUAAAGGGAGCGUAGACGGCAUGGCAAGUCAGAUGUGAAAGCCCGGGGCUCAACCCCGGGACUGCAUUUGAAACUGUCAGGCUGGAGUGCAGGAGAG
Molecule: ribosomal RNA, 305 nt
Filed under: uncultured bacterium
Lineage: Bacteria
Description: bacterial SSU rRNA
Rfam family: Bacterial small subunit ribosomal RNA
Source: RNAcentral